UGUCCAACGUUAAUCGGGGCAGGGUGAGUCGACCCCUAAGGCGAGGCCGAAAGGCGUAGUCGAUGGGAAACAGGUUAAUAUUCCUGUACUUGGUGUUACUGCGAAGGGGGGACGGAGAAGGCUAUGUUGGCCGGGCGACGGUUGUCCCGGUUUAAGCGUGUAGGCUGGUUUUCCAGGCAAAUCCGGAAAACUAAGGCUGAGGCGUGAUGACGAGGCACUACGGUGCUGAAGCAACAAAUGCCCUGCUUCCAGGAAAAGCCUCUAAGCAUCAGGUAACAUCAAAUCGUACCCCAAACCGACACAGGUGGUCAGGUAGAGAAUACCAAGGCGCUUGAGAGAACUCGGGUGAAGGAACUAGGCAAAAUGGUGCCGUAACUUCGGGAGAAGGCACGCUGAUAUGUAGGUGAAGUCCCUCGCGGAUGGAGCUGAAAUCAGUCGAAGAUACCAGCUGGCUGCAACUGUUUAUUAAAAACACAGCACUGUGCAAACACGAAAGUGGACGUAUACGGUGUGACGCCUGCCCGGUGCCGGAAGGUUAAUUGAUGGGGUCAGCGCAAGCGAAGCUCUUGAUCGAAGCCCCGGUAAACGGCGGCCGUAACUAUAACGGUCCUAAGGUAGCGAAAUUCCUUGUCGGGUAAGUUCCGACCUGCACGAAUGGCGUAAUGAUGGCCAGGCUGUCUCCACCCGAGACUCAGUGAAAUUGAACUCGCUGUGAAGAUGCAGUGUACCCGCGGCAAGACGGAAAGACCCCGUGAACCUUUACUAUAGCUUGACACUGAACAUUGAGCCUUGAUGUGUAGGAUAGGUGGGAGGCUUUGAAGUGUGGACGCCAGUCUGCAUGGAGCCGACCUUGAAAUACCACCCUUUAAUGUUUGAUGUUCUAACGUUGACCCGUAAUCCGGGUUGCGGACAGUGUCUGGUGGGUAGUUUGACUGGGGCGGUCUCCUCCUAAAGAGUAACGGAGGAGCACGAAGGUUGGCUAAUCCUGGUCGGACAUCAGGAGGUUAGUGCAAUGGCAUAAGCCAGCUUGACUGCGAGCGUGACGGCGCGAGCAGGUGCGAAAGCAGGUCAUAGUGAUCCGGUGGUUCUGAAUGGAAGGGCCAUCGCUCAACGGAUAAAAGGUACUCCGGGGAUAACAGGCUGAUACCGCCCAAGAGUUCAUAUCGACGGCGGUGUUUGGCACCUCGAUGUCGGCUCAUCACAUCCUGGGGCUGAAGUAGGUCCCAAGGGUAUGGCUGUUCGCCAUUUAAAGUGGUACGCGAGCUGGGUUUAGAACGUCGUGAGACAGUUCGGUCCCUAUCUGCCGUGGGCGCUGGAGAACUGAGGGGGGCUGCUCCUAGUACGAGAGGACCGGAGUGGACGCAUCACUGGUGUUCGGGUUGUCAUGCCAAUGGCACUGCCCGGUAGCUAAAUGCGGAAGAGAUAAGUGCUGAAAGCAUCUAAGCACGAAACUUGCCCCGAGAUGAGUUCUCCCUGACUCCUUGAGAGUCCUGAAGGAACGUUGAAG
Molecule: ribosomal RNA, 1507 nt
Filed under: Escherichia coli
Lineage: Bacteria; Pseudomonadati; Pseudomonadota; Gammaproteobacteria; Enterobacterales; Enterobacteriaceae
Description: partial 23S ribosomal RNA
Rfam family: Bacterial large subunit ribosomal RNA
Source: RNAcentral